This 1338-nucleotide ribosomal RNA is filed under the name metagenome. Its description in RNAcentral is "bacterial LSU rRNA". It matches the Rfam family "Bacterial large subunit ribosomal RNA", at positions 1564 to 2925 of the family's 2925-position model. The record is from RNAcentral.
GUAAGGGACCGAAUACGAGUAGGGAAGCCCGCGAUGUUCCGAGGCGAGAAAAGGCGAAGGUAGGGUGCCCGUACCGCAAACCGACACAGGUAGAUGAGGAGAGAAUCCUAAGGCCAACGGGAGAAGGGUUGUUAAGGAACUCGGCAAAAUGACCCCGUAACUUCGGGAUAAGGGGAGGCUGUCUAUGGCAGGCCGCAGAGAAUAGGCCCAAGCGACUGUUUACCAAAAACACAGGUCUAUGCUAAAUCGAAAGAUGACGUAUAUGGGCUGACGCCUGCCCGGUGCUGGAAGGUUAAGAGGAGAUGUCAGGCAACGAAGCAUUGAAUCGAAGCCCCAGUAAACGGCGGCCGUAACAAUAACGGUCCUAAGGUAGCGAAAUUCCUUGUCAGGUAAGUUCUGACCCGCACGAAUGGCGUAACGAUUUGGGCGCUGUCUCAACAGCCCACCCGGCGAAAUUGUUGUACUGGUGAAGAAGCCAGUUACCCGCAACUAGACGGAAAGACCCCAUGGAGCUUUACUGCAGCUUAAUACUGGAAUUCGGUAAUUCAUGUACAGGAUAGGUGGGAGACUGAGAACUAACGUCGUCAGGCGCUAGGGAGUCGCCCUUGGGAUACCACUCUUGAAUUGCUGGGUUUCUAACCUGCGGCCGUGAAUCCGGUCGGGGGACACUGUUAGGCAGACAGUUUGACUGGGGCGGUCGCCUCCUAAAAGGUAACGGAGGCGCUCAAAGGUUGGCUCAGCACGGACGGAAAUCGUGCAAUGAGUGUAAACGUAUAAGCCAGCCUAACUGCGAGAGUGACGGCUCGAGCAGUAACGAAAGUUGGAGUUAGUGAUCCGGUGGUAUGUGAGUGGAAAUGCCAUCGCUCAACGGAUAAAAGCUACCCUGGGGAUAACAGGCUGAUCUCCCCCAAGCGUCCACAGCGACGGGGAGGUUUGGCACCUGAUGUCGGCUCGUCACAUCCUGGGGCUGUACUCGGUCCCAAGGGUUCGGCUGUUCGCCGAUUAAAGUGGCACGCGAGCUGGGUUCAGAACGUCGUGAGACAGUUCGGUCCCUAUCUGUUGCGGGCGUAAGAGAUUUGAAGGGGGCUGUCCUUAGUACGAGAGGACCGGGAUGGACGCACCUCUGGUGCACCUGUUGUCGUGCCAACGGCAUAGCAGGGUAGCUACGUGCGGACGAGAUAAACGCUGAAAGCAUCUAAGCGUGAAACUUUCCCUAAGAUAAGAUCUCUCAUCCUUCAUGGAGUAAGGCACGAUGUAGACUAUAUCGUAGAUAGGCCGGAGGUGGAAGUGCAGUAAUGUAUGGAGCUGACCGGUACUAAUAAGCCGAGGGCUUGACCU